RNAcentral lists this ribosomal RNA (496 nucleotides) under uncultured bacterium. RNAcentral describes it as "partial 16S ribosomal RNA". It matches the Rfam family "Bacterial small subunit ribosomal RNA", at positions 29 to 507 of the family's 1533-position model. The record is from RNAcentral.
AUGCACGCUGGCGGCGUGCCUAAUCCAUGCAAGUCGAGCGAACAGACGAGGAGCUUGCUCCUUUGACGUUAGCGGCGGACGGGUGAGUAACACGUAGGUAACCUACCUAUAAGACUGGGAUAACUUCGGGAAACCGGAGCUAAUACCGGAUAAUAUUUCGAACCGCAUGGUUCGAUAGUGAAAGAUGGCUUUGCUAUCACUUAUAGAUGGACCUGCGCCGUAUUAGCUAGUUGGUAAGGUAACGGCUUACCAAGGCAACGAUACGUAGCCGACCUGAGAGGGUGAUCGGCCACACUGGAACUGAGACACGGUCCAGACUCCUACGGGAGGCAGCAGUAGGGAAUCUUCCGCAAUGGGCGAAAGCCUGACGGAGCAACGCCGCGUGAGUGAUGAAGGUCUUCGGAUCGUAAAACUCUGUUAUUAGGGAAGAACAAACGUGUAAGUAACUGUGCACGUCCUGACGGUACCUAAUCAGAAAGCCACGGCUAACUACGUG